Molecule: long non-coding RNA, 337 nt
Filed under: Anser brachyrhynchus (Pink-footed goose)
Lineage: Eukaryota; Metazoa; Chordata; Aves; Anseriformes; Anatidae
Description: lncRNA (ENSABRG00000012801.1)
Source: RNAcentral
GCCCCAAACAGCCCCAAUUUGCCCCAAAUCAGUCCCAAUCCACCCCAAACCACCCCAGUUCACCCCGAAUUAGACCCAAUCCGCCCCAAAAUUGCCCCAAAUCACCCCAAACCACCCCAAAUCACCCCAGUUCGCCCUGAAUUAGUCCCAAUCCGCCCCAAAAGUGCCCUAAACCACCCCAAAAUUGCCCCAAACUGCCCCAAUUUGCCCCAAAUCAGUCCCAAUCCACCCCAAAUCACCCCAGUUCGCCCUGAAUUAGUCCCAAUCCGCCCCAAAAUUGCCCCAAACCACCCCAAUUUGCCCCAAACCGGGGGGGGGGGGCAAUGGGGUGGUGACG